ACAUAGGUGGCGAGCGUUAUCCGGAUUUAUUGGGCGUAAAGAGUGCACAGGUGGUUUAUUAAGUCAGUUGUUAAAGAUCGAAGCUUAACUUCGAUUCACAUCUGAAACUAGUAAGCUAGAAUACAGGUGGGGGCAAUGGAAUUCCAUGUGUAGCGGUGGAAUGCAUAAAUAUGUGGAGGAACACCAGUGGCGAAGGCGGUUGCCUGAACUGUAAUUGACACUUAAGCACGAAAGCGUGGGGAGCAAAUAGGA
This 252-nucleotide ribosomal RNA is filed under the name uncultured prokaryote. Its description in RNAcentral is "partial 16S ribosomal RNA". It matches the Rfam family "Bacterial small subunit ribosomal RNA", at positions 525 to 777 of the family's 1533-position model. The record is from RNAcentral.